Molecule: ribosomal RNA, 433 nt
Filed under: uncultured bacterium
Lineage: Bacteria
Description: partial 16S ribosomal RNA
Rfam family: Bacterial small subunit ribosomal RNA
Source: RNAcentral
AACGAACGCUGGCGGCAGGCUUAACACAUGCAAGUCGAACGGAUCCUUCGGGAUUAGUGGCAGACGGGUGAGUAACGCGUGGGAACGUACCCUUUGCUACGGAAUAACUCAGGGAAACUUGAGCUAAUACCGUAUGUGCUCUACGGGGGAAAGAUUUAUCGGCAAAGGAUCGGCCCGCGUUGGUUUAGCCGGUUGGUGGGGUAAUGGCCUACCAAGGCGACGAUCCAUAGCUGGUCUGAGAGGAAGAUCAGCCACACUGGGACGGAGACACGGCCCAGACUCCUACGGGAGGGAGCAGUGGGGAAUAUUGGACAAUGGGCGCAAGCCUGAUCGAGCCCUGCCGGGUGAGUGAUGAAGGUCUUAGGAUUGUAAAGCUCUUUCACCGGUGAAGAUAAUGACGGUAGCCGGAGAAGAAGCCCCGGCUAACUUCGUG